UCUCAAUUUAUGAACCUCCUUGGCAGCCUUUGUUCUGCUCUCACAUGAGGCUCUGCCAAGUUUAUAAAUACUUCCUCUGAAUGACUAUAAAUUCGGUCUCCCUAAUCUUUCACUCCAUAGAUAAAAUCUCACUGAGGUUGCAGUACCACUGACGCUUAAACUGUUUUCUUGCUUGAUCUUAACACUCUAACCAAAUGGAUUUUGGGGGCCUCCUUUUCAUGGUUCACAGCUGCUUGACUCAAGGAUGUUUGCCUAGCCAUAUCCUGAAAGUUGGAAGCUAACCGGCUUGGAUGCCUGCCUCUCACACUGUUCCUUUCUGUGAAGUCAAGACCAUUGAUAAAAGCCAGACAGUUUACAGAAGGACCUAAAGAAGGUUAUUUCUCUGAACACUUGGCUGUACCUUCUCCAACAACAGAUGAAUUUACCAGAUGUAACAGAAGCGGUUCUUUUGUUUCUCAAGGAGGAUAAGAUUGCCUUUUGUUCUGAUGAACAGUGAAGAACUUUUAGUGAGAAAUCCACCGAAGGAAGAGGAGGGCUGCAGUGCAGGGCCGAAAGGCACGAUGGGAAUGACAAGAAUUGACAGCGCCAAGAGCAGGUGAGAGAGGCUUAUGCAGAAAUUUCCUGCCUUUAUGAAACUCCACAAUAUUCUGCUCCCCAAAAGUUAAAGAAUCAGUGCUUUUUUCUGCCAAGAAAGUAAGAACUUGUAGUUUGUGUCUCCACAGCUUCUGAUUAAGGCGAGGAUGCUGGUCAGCAAGGAAGCACCUUGGAGGUGCCAAGAACUCUUCGUAGAUGGUCCCUUUGUGGAGCAGUGAUGGAUUCGAGAAGGCUGUGAGAACAACACCACAGACUCAGGGGCUGAUGAACAAGAUGGCACCUGCCAUCUGCCAGACCCUGUGCUGGAUACAGUAGUGAGCAGGCAGCAGUCAGAGCCCAUCCUCACGGAGCCAAGGGGGAAGCCACGUGAGUCAGGAUGAUCCGAGAAGGCUUGUCUCAGGAGUUAACUGGAUCAAAGGACUUUCUGGGGCCACAGGGUUAUUAUCAAGCAUCCAGGAAAUCCUCUGCUGAGCCAGCCCUGAAGGUAGUCCGGACAAUGUGUACCUACUAGGCCCUGGUAAAUAUUUAUUAAAUGAAUGAAUGAAUGAGCCACCUCAUAUAUUUCAAAUUAUGUAAAUACCAUUGAAUUUAUAUUAACUAUUGCUGUAUAAUAAACUACUCCUAAACGUAAUGGCUUAAAACA
This 1237-nucleotide long non-coding RNA is filed under the name Sus scrofa (pig). Its description in RNAcentral is "lncRNA (ENSSSCG00015074552.1)". Lineage: Eukaryota; Metazoa; Chordata; Mammalia; Artiodactyla; Suidae. The record is from RNAcentral.